UCCUUCUUAGCUCAGUUGGUAGAGCGCGUCACUAGUAUGGAUUAAUUGAUGACGAGGUCAGUCGUUCAAGUCGGCUAGAAGGAA
RNAcentral lists this transfer RNA (84 nucleotides) under Lentinula aff. boryana. Its description in RNAcentral is "tRNA-Thr". It matches the Rfam family "tRNA". From Rfam's summary of the family: Transfer RNA (tRNA) molecules are approximately 80 nucleotides in length. Their secondary structure includes four short double-helical elements and three loops (D, anti-codon, and T loops). Lineage: Eukaryota; Fungi; Basidiomycota; Agaricomycetes; Agaricales; Omphalotaceae. The record is from RNAcentral.